UGCAGGAUAGUUCAGUCGGUAGAGCAUGAGGCUCCUAAUCUAAGGCUCAUGGGUUCAAGCCCCAUAUUAGGCAA
Podarcis lilfordi (Lilford's wall lizard) is the source of this 74-nucleotide non-coding RNA. Lineage: Eukaryota; Metazoa; Chordata; Lepidosauria; Squamata; Lacertidae. The record is from the annotation of a GenBank genome assembly.